CCGCAUCCUUGUGGAUCCUCGUUGGGUUCGUUAACUGCUGAGUCAAGAAAGGAACUCCAAGAUGUGCCUUGUACCUAAGCAACAGAUGUCUUGGGGAGCUCCACUGUGUCUGGGGCUCAUGGGCAGGCACUGUCUGUCACAGGAUUACCAAAGUCACAAAAGAGAAGAUACCUUGAAAGACCCUUAAGACAAGCAGUCCCCUUGGUACCCUUCGCCUCCCAAACUGACUAAUUGAUCUUGGUAAUUCAGUGUGAAACUACAGGCCCCACAGAUUGGCUCAGCGCAUGUCCUGCACCCUGCUUCUGGUCAUACCCGUUAAUACAAAUAAUUCAAGGUGUCUGGCUUCCUGGCACAGCCCCAGCUGGCUCCAUGCUCCUCCUUUGCCCACACAGAGGAGGAACCCAGAGCCCCAGUUGUCCCAUCAUCUUGGAAAAGGAAAGAAAGAGACUUUGGCAGGAAAUCAUUUCCUCCAAAUCGUCACUCUCCCAUUCUGUAUGUACGCUGCUUCCUAAAACUGGUACCAAAGAAAGUUCACUGGGGCCUUGGAGAAAUUGAAAAGGACCUGGGCUGUGUGGCUCUGGCCGAGCCCUUGACCCUCUCUGGGCCUUCACACACUGAUCAGUGAAACUACAGGAGGAGGCAAUUGCUCUGUGGACCCGGGGUGCCUGGAGAGAGCACUGAACUAGUAGGGAAAGGAGGGCAGUCCCUCCUGGCCCUUUGGUGCUCUGGUUAUCACCAAUAACUAGUUAGUAGUUAUCAUUACUAACUAGCAAUAGGCCAUGGUCAGGUCAUUUAACCUCUCUGACUCUCAGCAUCUUUAUCUGUGACAUUGAGACUGUAUCACUUCACAGCGUCGCCAGAACCAUUAUUUGAGAUGAUGCCUGCUUGUGUCAAGUGUCUGAAAUUAUUGUUCUUCUUGACUCCCUUUCUCCGAGUUUGGGUAAAGGGGGGCUAACAGCCCCAUCUCCUUUCUGGAAGUGGUAGUGGUUUCAGGAGGUGUCAGCUGUGGAAGGACCAUGACCAAGGGACAGUCAGGAUGGAGCCCCGGCUGGCAGACUUUCUCAGUGGCCCAGUGAGGCCUGUCUCACUGCGUCACCCUGACUUGGUGAAGCAGAACCCUGGCAAGAGCAGGGCUGGAGUGGCCGGGGUGUGUCUGGGGUGGGGGUGGGGGUAAGUGCAGUCACCAAGGGGGCCGGCAGCUUUGCGGAUCCUGGGCCCUCACUCACAAUUGGAGGAAGGAGUUCAGGAAGUGUUCUCAGCCACACUCAGACCUCACAGAGCCUCGUCCCAGGCAGGACCGAGGCUGCAGCACCCAGGGAUGAGCGUGAUGUGGCCUGGCCCCGGGGGUGGCUGCCAGGUCAGGAGGCCAUGGCACUGUGUUCAGCCAACAGGGAGCCCAGGGCGUCACCAGAGGGCUGGAUUAGCGAGGCUUCCUCUGAGCAAAGCCUUCUGCCUUCUUCCAGCCCCUCCGAGUCCAGGGAGUCUUGAGCUCACACUUUAAAGGACAUCGCUUCUUCCAGAGCUGCCAGUGGAGUUGCCCAUGGCUCUCAGAAGCCUGGCCUGAGGCUCAGGAAACAGUGACAGAGACCCAGUGAGAUUGGAGUAGGGCCAUGCGGGGCACCCAACAGCCCAGACAAGGCAGCAGUCAGGGCCUCAGACCAGCACCUUCUUAGAAGAUCACAGGGAGAGUGGCCUGAGGAGCGAGGGUACCUGCCAUCACCGAGAGCCCCGGCUUCAGACAGGGAGCUGAGGCUCCAAGACUCGUCCCAGGUUGCUCAGUGGGUCAGCGGCCACGCAGGGCCAUGGAAACGGCUGUGAUUGGAGUGGUGGCCGUGCUGUUUGUGGUCACCGUGGCCAUCACCUGCGUCCUCUGUUGCUUCAGCUGUGACUCGAGGGCCCGGGAUCCUCAGAGGGGCCCAGGCCACAGCUUCACGGUGGCCACGUUUCGCCAGGAGGCUUCUCUCUUCACGGGGCCAGGUUGCCAUAUCCAACCAGUGGCGGGUGCCCGGGACUUCUGGACCUUCAUGUGAGACCUGCCAGCUCUCGGCCUUUGCUCUGCUGGUGGUCAGACUUGUUUAUGCCCCAGCAAGCCUUCUCUGGUGACCCACUCCUCCAACGCUGGCUUUCCCGUCCUUCCCUGCCUGUGUCCAGUAAACCCUGUCCCAUGUCCUGCAGCCUGGGAGAUCCAUGGUGAUAGGACCAGGUGGAGUCAGCUCUGACCUCCAGAGCUCAGCUGGAUCCUAACCACAGGAUGGGGCUUAGGAGAGGUCCAGAGGGUGAGUGACUGAGUGUUGGAUGGCAUGGUGGACCAGGUCUUCUGAUCUACACAGUGAACUGAAAUCUCACCGGACUUUAUUGUGAAGAGUGUUGGGAGUUCCCAUCAUGGCACAGUGGAAAUGAAUCCACUAGGAACCAUGAGGUUGCGGGUUCGAUCCCUGGCCUUGCUCAGUGGGUCAAGGAUCUGGCGUUGCUGAGAGCUGUGGUGUAGGUCACAGGGGCUGCUCAGAUCUGGCGUUGCUGUGGCUGUGGUGUAGGCCGGUGGCUACAGCUCUGAUUUAACCCCUAGACUGGAAACCUCCACAUGCCAUAUAUGGCCCUGAAAAAACAAAAAGACAAAAAAAAAAAAAAAAAAAAAAGAGUGUUGGUUAACUCAGCUUAUCCCUGGAUGCCUGUGACCUGUGAAACUGAUUCUGUUGCCACCAGAGGAAGCAGAGCCCUCAAGUGGACAGUUUUACCAAUGACGUCUUCUCUGUUCCCGUAAUUGAGCCAGUUUGCUACUUGCUUGUGCUUUUGUGCAUCCUGCAGAGCUCACCCCGACACCUGCGCCCUGCUCGUUACCUGAAAUCAGCAGUGAAAUUCUGAAACCAAAGGGCUGCUUCCUGGGAACUGGUGAUUUAUUUUAUAAUUGAACAUGCCUAUCCUUUUAUGGGUCUCCUAAGAAUCGGGGUUGGGAAACUACAAAAGGAAACAGAAGAGAAAGAGUCACAGAAAGCCCAAGAUGUUUUAUUAACAGGAAAGCCAGAAAGAAGACUUUGCAACAUGUUUGGUAUGAGAAUUUAUCACUAAAUUCUUACAGAUCACUUAGAAGAUACUGUGAGGGACUUGGGUCCCUCAGGAAUGAUAGAAAAAUCGGCAACUGAAAGGUGAUUUUGAGUAAGUUAAAAUGUUUCAUUGACAGAUGUAACAAAGCUCUUGCUUGCAUCACAAAUAAAGAGAUGUUCAGUUUUUAUUUAC
This is a non-coding RNA of Sus scrofa (pig), 3234 nucleotides long. The record is from RefSeq and is a predicted model, not a curated record. Lineage: Eukaryota; Metazoa; Chordata; Mammalia; Artiodactyla; Suidae.